This 536-nucleotide ribosomal RNA is filed under the name uncultured bacterium. RNAcentral's name for it is "bacterial SSU rRNA". It matches the Rfam family "Bacterial small subunit ribosomal RNA", at positions 777 to 1304 of the family's 1533-position model. The record is from RNAcentral.
AAUAGAUACCCAGGUAGUCCUGGCCGUAAACGAUGUCGACUAGAUCGCGGCGGCUCUGACGCCGUCGCGGUCGAAGCAAAAGUGCUAAGUCGACCGCCUGGGAAGUACGGUCGCAAGGCUAAAACUCAAAGGAAUUGACGGGGGCUCACACAAGCGGUGGAGCAUGUGGUUCAAUUCGAAGCAACGCGCAGAACCUUACCUGGGUUUGACUCGCUAGGAUUACCCUCGUGAAAGCGAGGUAGGCCCCGCAAGGGGUACAACUAGUACAGGUGCUGCAUGGCUGUCGUCAGCUCGUGUCGUGAGAUGUCGGGUUAAGUCCCUUAACGAGCGAAACCUUUACCCUUAGUUACCAGCGGGUUAUGCCGGGGACUCUAAGGGGACUGCCGGUGUCAAACCGGAGGAAGGUGGAGAUGACGUCAAGUCCUCAUGGCCUUUAUACCCAGGGCCACACACGUGCUACAAUGGCGUGCAUAAAGCGAACCUAAAGCGCGAGCUCAUGGAAAUCGCAAAAAUCACGCCUCAGUUCAGAUCGGAGG